RNAcentral lists this small RNA (183 nucleotides) under Corynebacterium lipophiloflavum. RNAcentral's name for it is "c-di-AMP sequence". The stretch from base 25 to 183 matches the Rfam family "c-di-AMP riboswitch aptamer (ydaO/yuaA leader)". From Rfam's summary of the family: This family represents a conserved RNA structure found upstream of the ydaO and yuaA genes in Bacillus subtilis and related genes in other bacteria. The ydaO/yuaA element is thought to act as a genetic "off" switch for the ydaO and yuaA genes in its native state. Lineage: Bacteria; Bacillati; Actinomycetota; Actinomycetes; Mycobacteriales; Corynebacteriaceae. The record is from RNAcentral.
AAUUCUGUCCGGCCGACAUCAUUCUUCCCCGAGACGACACAACUUCAAGGACAGAAGCGGAGGACCCACACGCGUGAUCAACUCGCGCAGGAGGUCACUCCUAGGGGUGAAGCCGCACCCGCGGCCUGGCACCUUGAGCCAGAACCCGACAGCUAACUUCGCAGGCGGUUAACAAGAGAGGAA